CUACGGGACGCACCAGUGAGGAAUAUUGCACAAUGGGGGGAACCCUGAUGCAGCAACGCCGCGUGGAGGAUGACGCAUUUCGGUGUGUAAACUCCUUUUAUGUGUCAAGAAAAUGACGGUAGCAUAUGAAUAAGCACCGGCUAACUCCGUGCCAGCAGCCGCGGUAAUACGGAGGGUGCAAGCGUUACUCGGAAUCACUGGGCGUAAAGGACGCGUAGGCGGGUUGGGAAGUCAGGUGUGAAAUCCUACAGCUUAACUGUAGAACUGCACCUGAAACUUCUAAUCUAGAGUAUGGGAGGGGGAGAUGGAAUUAGUGGUGUAGGGGUAAAAUCCGUAGAUAUCACUAGGAAUACCUAAAGCGAAGGCGAUCUCCUGGAACAUUACUGACGCUAAGGCGUGAAAGCGUGGGGAGCAAACAGGAUUAGAUACCCUUGUAGUC
Molecule: ribosomal RNA, 439 nt
Filed under: uncultured bacterium
Lineage: Bacteria
Description: partial 16S ribosomal RNA
Rfam family: Bacterial small subunit ribosomal RNA
Source: RNAcentral